RNAcentral lists this ribosomal RNA (274 nucleotides) under uncultured bacterium. RNAcentral describes it as "partial 16S ribosomal RNA". It matches the Rfam family "Bacterial small subunit ribosomal RNA", at positions 523 to 796 of the family's 1533-position model. The record is from RNAcentral.
AUACGGAGGGUGCAAGCGUUAUCCGGAAUCAUUGGGUUUAAAGGGCCCGUAGGCGGAUUGGUAAGUCAGUGGUGAAAGUCUGCAGCUUAACUGUAGAAUUGCCAUUGAUACUGCUAGUCUUGAAUUACUGUGAAGUGAUUAGAAUGUGUAGUGUAGCGGUGAAAUGCAUAGAUAUUACACAGAAUACCAAUUGCGAAGGCAGAUCACUAACAGUAUAUUGACGCUGAGGGACGAAAGCGUGGGGAGCGAACAAGAUUAGAAACCCUAGUAGUCC